RNAcentral lists this ribosomal RNA (570 nucleotides) under uncultured bacterium. Its description in RNAcentral is "partial 16S ribosomal RNA". It matches the Rfam family "Bacterial small subunit ribosomal RNA", at positions 355 to 914 of the family's 1533-position model. The record is from RNAcentral.
UGGGGAAUAUUGCACAAUGGGCACAAGCCUGAUGCAGCCAUGCCGCGUGUGUGAAGAAGGCCUUCGGGUUGUAAAGCACUUUCAGCGAGGAGGAAGGUGGUGAGCUUAAUACGCUCAUCAAUUGACGUUACUCGCAGAAGAAGCACCGGCUAACUCCGUGCCAGCAGCCGCGGUAAUACGGAGGGUGCAAGCGUUAAUCGGAAUUACUGGGCGUAAAGCGCACGCAGGCGGUUUGUUAAGUCAGGUGUGAAAUCCCCGGGCUCAACCUGGGAACUGCAUUUGAAACUGGCAAGCUAGAGUCUCGUAGAGGGGGGUAGAAUUCCAGGUGUAGCGGUGAAAUGCGUAGAGAUCUGGAGGAAUACCGGUGGCGAAGGCGGCCCCCUGGACGAAGACUGACGCUCAGGUGCGAAAGCGUGGGGCAGCAAACAGGAUUAGAUACCCUGGUAGUCCAGCGCUGUAAACGAUGUCGAUUUUGGAGGUUGUGCCCUUGAGGCGUGGCUUCCGGAGCUAACGCGUUAAAUCGACCGCCUGGGGAGUACGGCCGCAAGGUUAAAACUUAAAUGAAUUGAC